Molecule: ribosomal RNA, 254 nt
Filed under: uncultured prokaryote
Description: partial 16S ribosomal RNA
Rfam family: Bacterial small subunit ribosomal RNA
Source: RNAcentral
UACGUAGGGUGCGAGCGUUGUCCGGAAUUAUUGGGCGUAAAGGGCUCGUAGGCGGUUUGUCGCGUCGGGAGUGAAAACCUCGGGCUUAACUCGGGGCUUGCUUUCGAUACGGGCAGACUAGAGGUAUGCAGGGGAGAACGGAAUUCCUGGUGUAGCGGUGAAAUGCGCAGAUAUCAGGAGGAACACCGGUGGCGAAGGCGGUUCUCUGGGCAUGAUCUGACGCUGAGGAGCGAAAGUGUGGGGAGCGAACAGGA